GAUGAACGCUAGCGGCAGGCUUAAUACAUGCAAGUCGAGGGGCAGCACGGGUAGCAAUACCUGGUGGCGACCGGCAAACGGGUGCGGAACACGUACGCAACCUUCCCGAAACUGGUGAAUAGCCCUCCGAAAGGAGGAUUAAUACACCGUAAGAUAAUGGAGUGGCAUCACUCUAUUAUUAUAGCUACGGCGGUUUUGGAUGGGCGUGCGCCUGAUUAGGUAGUUGGCGGGGUAACGGCCCACCAAGCCUGCGAUCAGUAACUGGUGUGAGAGCACGACCAGUCACACGGGCACUGAGACACGGGCCCGACUCCUACGGGAGGCAGCAGUAAGGAAUAUUGGACAAUGGACGCAAGUCUGAUCCAGCCAUGCCGCGUGAAGGAUUAAGGUCCUCUGGAUUGUAAACUUCUUUUAUAAGGGACGAAAAAGGUCUUUCUAGAUCGUCUGACGGUACCUUAUGAAUAAGCACCGGCUAACUCCGUGCCAGCAGCCGCGGUAAUCAUACUCG
RNAcentral lists this ribosomal RNA (508 nucleotides) under uncultured bacterium. RNAcentral describes it as "bacterial SSU rRNA". It matches the Rfam family "Bacterial small subunit ribosomal RNA", at positions 28 to 529 of the family's 1533-position model. The record is from RNAcentral.